AUUGAACGCUGGCGGCAGGCCUAACACAUGCAAGUCGAGCGAGCGGCGGACGGGUGAGUAAUGUCUGGGAAACUGCCUGAUGGAGGGGGAUAACUACUGGAAACGGUAGCUAAUACCGCAUACCAUCAGAUGUGCCCAGAUGGGAUUAGCUGGUAGGUGGGGUAACGGCUCACCUAGGCGACGAUCCCUAGCUGGUCUGAGAGGAUGACCAGCCCAACUGGAACUGAGACAGGGCCCAGCCUCCUACGGGAGGCAGCAGUGGGGAAUUUUGCACAAUGGGCGCAAGCCGGAUGAAGCCAUGCCGCGUGUAUGAAGAAGGCCUUCGGGUUGUAAAGUACUUUCAGCGGGGAGGCGUUACCCGCAGAAGAAGCACCGGCUAACUCCGUGCCAGCAGCCGCGGUAAUUC
RNAcentral lists this ribosomal RNA (406 nucleotides) under uncultured bacterium. RNAcentral describes it as "partial 16S ribosomal RNA". It matches the Rfam family "Bacterial small subunit ribosomal RNA", at positions 30 to 526 of the family's 1533-position model. The record is from RNAcentral.